Acanthochromis polyacanthus (spiny chromis) is the source of this 358-nucleotide long non-coding RNA. RefSeq lists it as uncharacterized. The transcript has 3 exons. The record is from RefSeq and is a predicted model, not a curated record. NCBI's taxonomy places the organism in Eukaryota, Metazoa, Chordata, Actinopteri, Pomacentridae.
UGCAGGUUUGGGCGAGAGACGAAUUACUUUUCAAGGCAGAGAGUCCUGCCCCCAGUAUUUUAAACAGUGUUUAUUGGAUGCCUUCCGGAAGCUGAGUGAAGCUGGGGGAUAUGAGCUUCUCAGGAUCCGGGGCUCAACACGAAGCCGGGAGUUGUCUCUAAUUUCCUGCCCAAAUACAGGAUACUGUGUCAAAUAUCUGAAGUCGCCACAAGCAAUGAUUGGGCAUGCAGUGGUUUACAUUCGGCCACUUCAGAGAAACUUGAACAUGGACAAAGAAGAUGGCGAGUCCACAGACGCAUCUGGACCCCUGAUUGCAUGUCUGUCUUGUGGAGUUGAGUUCCACUUUGAUUCAAUUAAG